This 258-nucleotide long non-coding RNA is filed under the name Dromaius novaehollandiae (emu). RNAcentral's name for it is "lncRNA (ENSDNVG00000011687.1)". The record is from RNAcentral. Lineage: Eukaryota; Metazoa; Chordata; Aves; Casuariiformes; Dromaiidae.
CAGGAUUUCAGAAGAAGUGCCAUGGAGAUCUUUUUUCAUCCCUUUUUUACUUGAACCCUUCACAGGGCUAAGGGUACAACCGGUGAAUGUUUUCAGCCCUGGCUGCUGGAACCAAAAGACCUGACUCAUGAUUCAAGCUACAGAAAGUGUCUGGAUCAGCCACAACUACAGCUACUUUAUUUUCUGACAAAAAGAAAUGCUCCUUCUGCUUCGUACCUGAUGCUACCAGCUCUACCAAAAUAGCUGUGAAGGUUGCUC